CUGAGAAGCUUUUAUACACAGCCUUCCCAAUCUGCCUUGCAAGUCUCCCCAUUUUCAGGAAGCUCCGGACUUCAAAGCCAAGGGACAACACACCCCGCCAAGCCACUGCCCCACUCCGGGCCUCAGUUUCCUGCAAAAGACGGGGUUGUGCUGCCCCAGCUACGAAGCUCCUGGACCAGUCUGUUCUCACGAUGCUUCCUCCAGGACCCUACUGCUUCUUGCUUGCUCUGGGACGCCCACUGAAAGGCCCUUCCCAAGACUGCCAUGAAUUCACUUGUCGGGUACUAUUGAGCAAGUCGGUAGCAAUAGGCAACCCAGAUUUUUUUUUUCCCCAGAUGGACAAACGGAGAUCCGGAGCACUUUCACACACUGCAGAGGAGGGCGAGCGGAUCCUUGAUGUUUGCUUUGUAUAUUGGGAUUCUGGGAAAGAUUUCCUUUGAAACAAGGAUCUGAAAACCACAUAGACCAGAGGACUUUCCCUAGCCCCCUUCCCAGGGUUGACAUUUUCUGUGAGCGGUGAUAGAACCCUGAGUACCGAGCUGAAAGGAUAGAAAAGAAUUCCUGUGUUGGCGCUCCCGCCCCACUCUCCCCUGGAGGCUGAGCUGCUGGGAUCAAAGGGGCUGAAGUGGGUGCCACUCCAUGGAAUUAAGAUCUGAGAUGCCGGAUAAACCCAGCCGCCACUUCUGGGUCCUCCUCCCACCUCCCGUCACCUAGGCAACCGGGAGGGGCCUUGGGAGCCUGUUCCUCGGUCCCCGCCCCUCGCCACCCACUCAGCCGCCCAAGCUCACGUUCCUAUCCCACUCUGCCCACAGCUUUUCUAAAUCUCAGCUUCUCGAGAGUUCCAUCCCCUCAGCUCUCUUUUCUGAACAUGGAAAACAGAUUCCAAGCGAGGGGCCCCGACUCGCUAAAAUGACCCCAGUUUGCAUGAAGAAUUUGCCUGUCUUCCUGGCAGGAGCGACCUCGAAGGAACAACGUGUCCAGAGCUCCGAGAGAUCUAAGACAAGUUUCCUGCUGGAAAGGCACAGGGCAGUCAGCCUGAACUGGGUCACGGGGCCUUCUAGAAUACCCCACCCAGCAAGGCGGCAGGACAGAAGGCAGCGGGUGGCCUGAUAAGGGCGAGGAGUUUCUCCUCGCAGAAGUCAGGGCCAGAAAAUCCUGGGAGUUAUUUUUCUGUGGAAAAAAAAAAUUAAGAUUUA
This is a long non-coding RNA of Mesocricetus auratus (golden hamster), 1196 nucleotides long. RefSeq lists it as uncharacterized. The transcript has 2 exons. The record is from RefSeq and is a predicted model, not a curated record. NCBI's taxonomy places the organism in Eukaryota, Metazoa, Chordata, Mammalia, Rodentia, Cricetidae.